This 252-nucleotide ribosomal RNA is filed under the name uncultured bacterium. Its description in RNAcentral is "partial 16S ribosomal RNA". It matches the Rfam family "Bacterial small subunit ribosomal RNA", at positions 81 to 334 of the family's 1533-position model. The record is from RNAcentral.
AAAGAGAUGGCGACCGGGCGCACGGGUGAGUAACACGUAUCCAACCUGCCGAUAACUCCGGAAUAGCCUUUCGAAAGAAAGAUUAAUACCGGAUGGCAUACGAAUAUCGCAUGAUAUUUUUAUUAAAGAAUUUCGGUUAUCGAUGGGGAUGCGUUCCAUUAGUUUGUUGGCGGGGUAACGGCCCACCAAGACUACGAUGGAUAGGGGUUCUGAGAGGAAGGUCCCCCACAUUGGAACUGAGACACGGUCCAA